AGUCGAUGAUGGGAGCUAGCUUGCUAGAAGAAGUCAUGGCGGACGGGUGAGUAACGUGUAAAGAACUUACCAUAUAGACUGGGAUAACAGAGGGAAACUUCUGAUAAUACUGGAUAAGUUAGAAGUAGCAUUACUAAGUAAUGAAAGGUAGCAAUACGCUAUAUGAGAGCUUUGCAUCCUAUUAGCUAGUUGGUGGGGUAAAAGCCUACCAAGGCGAUGAUAGGUAGCCGGCCUGAGAGGGUGGACGGCCACAAGGGGACUGAGAUACGGCCCUUACUCCUACGGGAGGCAGCAGUGGGGAAUAUUGGACAAUGGAGGCAACUCUGAUCCAGCAAUUCUGUGUGUGUGAAGAAGGCUUUAGGACUGUAAAACACUUUUAGUAGGGAAGAAAGAAAUGACGGUACCUACAGAAGAAGCGACGGCUAAAUACGUGCCAGCAGCCGCGGUAAUACGUAUGUCGCGAGCGUUAUCCGGAAUUAUUGGGCUUAAAGGGCAUCUAGGCGGUUAAACAAGUUGAAGGUGAAAACCUGUGGCUCAACCAUAGGCUUGCCUACAAGACUGUAUAACUAGAGUACUGGAAAGGUGGGUGGAACUACACGAGUAGAGGUGAAAUUCGUAGAUAUGUGUAGGAAUGCCGAUGAUGAAGAUAACUCCCUGGACAGCAACUGA
RNAcentral lists this ribosomal RNA (669 nucleotides) under uncultured bacterium. Its description in RNAcentral is "bacterial SSU rRNA". It matches the Rfam family "Bacterial small subunit ribosomal RNA", at positions 60 to 743 of the family's 1533-position model. The record is from RNAcentral.